This 1232-nucleotide ribosomal RNA is filed under the name Salmonella enterica. RNAcentral's name for it is "partial 23S ribosomal RNA". It matches the Rfam family "Bacterial large subunit ribosomal RNA", at positions 1728 to 2925 of the family's 2925-position model. Lineage: Bacteria; Pseudomonadati; Pseudomonadota; Gammaproteobacteria; Enterobacterales; Enterobacteriaceae. The record is from RNAcentral.
CCGUAACUUCGGGAGAAGGCACGCUGACACGUAGGUGAAGCGGUUUACCCGUGGAGCUGAAGUCAGUCGAAGAUACCAGCUGGCUGCAACUGUUUAUUAAAAACACAGCACUGUGCAAACACGAAAGUGGACGUAUACGGUGUGACGCCUGCCCGGUGCCGGAAGGUUAAUUGAUGGGGUCAGCGCAAGCGAAGCUCCUGAUCGAAGCCCCGGUAAACGGCGGCCGUAACUAUAACGGUCCUAAGGUAGCGAAAUUCCUUGUCGGGUAAGUUCCGACCUGCACGAAUGGCGUAAUGAUGGCCAGGCUGUCUCCACCCGGGACUCAGUGAAAUUGAACUCGCUGUGAAGAUGCAGUGUACCCGCGGCAAGACGGAAAGACCCCGUGAACCUUUACUAUAGCUUGACACUGAACACUGGUCCUUGAUGUGCAGGAUAGGUGGGAGGCUUUGAAGUGUGGACGCCAGUCUGCAUGGAGCCGUCCUUGAAAUACCACCCUUUAAUGGCUGGUGUUCUAACGUAGACCCGUGAACCGGGUUGCGGACAGUGUCUGGUGGGUAGUUUGACUGGGGCGGUCUCCUCCUAAAGCGUAACGGAGGAGCACGAAGGUUGGCUAAUCCUGGUCGGACAUCAGGAGGUUAGUGCAAUGGCAUAAGCCAGCUUGACUGCGAGCGUGACGGCGCGAGCAGGUGCGAAAGCAGGUCAUAGUGAUCCGGUGGUUCUGAAUGGAAGGGCCAUCGCUCAACGGAUAAAAGGUACUCCGGGGAUAACAGGCUGAUACCGCCCAAGAGUUCAUAUCGACGGCGGUGUUUGGCACCUCGAUGUCGGCUCAUCACAUCCUGGGGCUGAAGUAGGUCCCAAGGGUAUGGCUGUUCGCCAUUUAAAGUGGUACGCGAGCUGGGUUUAGAACGUCGUGAGACAGUUCGGUCCCUAUCUGCCGUGGGCGCUGGAGAACUGAGGGGGGCUGCUCCUAGUACGAGAGGACCGGAGUGGACGCAUCACUGGUGUUCGGGUUGUCAUGCCAAUGGCACUGCCCGGUAGCUAAAUGCGGAAGAGAUAAGUGCUGAAAGCAUCUAAGCACGAAACUUGCCCCGAGAUGAGUUCUCCCUGAGACUACAAGUCUCCUGAAGGAACGUUGAAGACGACGACGUUGAUAGGCCGGGUGUGUAAGCGCAGCGAUGCGUUGAGCUAACCGGUACUAAUGAACCGUGAGGCUUAACCUUACAACGCCGAAG